UAUUGCAGGAACGCCUUAAUGCU
RNAcentral lists this unclassified non-coding RNA (23 nucleotides) under Mus musculus (house mouse). Its description in RNAcentral is "oocyte_clustered_small_RNA3972". The record is from RNAcentral. Lineage: Eukaryota; Metazoa; Chordata; Mammalia; Rodentia; Muridae.